This 201-nucleotide ribosomal RNA is filed under the name uncultured bacterium. Its description in RNAcentral is "partial 16S ribosomal RNA". It matches the Rfam family "Bacterial small subunit ribosomal RNA", at positions 1300 to 1500 of the family's 1533-position model. The record is from RNAcentral.
GCAGGCUGNAACCCGCCCUGCAUGAAGUCGGAAUUGCUAGUAAUCGCGGAUCAGCAUGCCGCGGUGAAUACGUUCCCGGGCCUUGUACACACCGCCCGUCACACCAUGGGAGCCGGUAAUACCCGAAGUCAGUAGUCCAACCUCGUGAGGACGCUGCCGAAGGUAGGAUUGGCGACUGGGGUGAAGUCGUAACAAGGUACC